AUACGUAGGGUGCGAGCGUUGUCCGGAAUUACUGGGCGUAAAGAGCUCGUAGGUGGUUUGUCGCGUCGUCUGUGAAAUUCCGGGGCUUAACUCCGGGCGUGCAGGCGAUACGGGCAUAACUUGAGUACUGUAGGGGAGACUGGUAUUCCUGGUGUAGCGGUGAAAUGCGCAGAUAUCAGGAGGAACACCGGUGGCGAAGGCGGGUCUCUGGGCAGUAACUGACGCUGAGGAGCGAAAGCAUGGGUAGCGAACAGGAUUAGAUACCCUGGUAGUCCAUGCCGUAAACGGUGGGCGCUAGGUGUAGGGGUCUUCCACGACUUCUGUGCCGUAGCUAACGCAUUAAGCGCCCCGCCUGGGGAGUACGGCCGCAAGGCUAAAACUCAAAUGAAUUGACGGGG
This 398-nucleotide ribosomal RNA is filed under the name uncultured bacterium. RNAcentral describes it as "partial 16S ribosomal RNA". It matches the Rfam family "Bacterial small subunit ribosomal RNA", at positions 523 to 918 of the family's 1533-position model. The record is from RNAcentral.